This 285-nucleotide ribosomal RNA is filed under the name Vibrio cholerae. RNAcentral describes it as "partial 16S ribosomal RNA". It matches the Rfam family "Bacterial small subunit ribosomal RNA", at positions 1 to 281 of the family's 1533-position model. The record is from RNAcentral. Lineage: Bacteria; Pseudomonadati; Pseudomonadota; Gammaproteobacteria; Vibrionales; Vibrionaceae.
UUAAUUGAAGAGUUUGAUCAUGGCUCAGAUUGAACGCUGGCGGCAGGCCUAACACAUGCAAGUCGAGCGGCAGCACAGAGGAACUUGUUCCUUGGGUGGCGAGCGGCGGAGGGGUGAGUAAUGCCUGGGAAAUUGCCCGGUAGAGGGGGAUAACCAUUGGAAACGAUGGCUAAUACCGCAUAACCUCGCAAGAGCAAAGCAGGGGACCUUCGGGCCUUGCGCUACCGGAUAUGCCCAGGUGGGAUUAGCUAGUUGGUGAGGUAAGGGCUCACCAAGGCGACGAUC